UCAGGAAUCUCACCGGAGAAUUGGUUUUCGAAAAGUUGGAGAGAAGAAAGCUGUUUCAAGGAUUUCAACUCUCCAAGAUCACCUUCAAGCUUAUUAUGUGAAGCAUCAAAAUUUACUAGGCUUGUGAGAUUGCUCAAUCCUACUGGAAGUUUUCCUGUCAAGGAAUUGUUGUAAAUCUCAAGUUGCCAAAGCUUGCUGAG
RNAcentral lists this unclassified non-coding RNA (200 nucleotides) under Hevea brasiliensis (rubber tree). The record is from RNAcentral. Lineage: Eukaryota; Viridiplantae; Streptophyta; Magnoliopsida; Malpighiales; Euphorbiaceae.